Molecule: non-coding RNA, 154 nt
Filed under: Streptomyces alboflavus
Lineage: Bacteria; Bacillati; Actinomycetota; Actinomycetes; Kitasatosporales; Streptomycetaceae
Description: SAM-I sequence
Rfam family: SAM riboswitch aptamer (S box leader)
About the family: The SAM riboswitch is found upstream of a number of genes which code for proteins involved in methionine or cysteine biosynthesis in Gram-positive bacteria. The SAM riboswitch acts at the level of transcription termination control. The predicted structure consists of a complex stem-loop region followed by a single stem loop terminator region.
Source: Rfam by way of RNAcentral
CGCUCAUCCAGAGGGGCAGAGGGAUACGGCCCGUUGAAGCCCCGGCAACCCUCCAGCCGGUCUCGUCGCCGCGAACGCGCGCGCCGCGAGGCUCCCGGCUCGGGAAGGUGCCAAUUCCGUCUCGCGGCGAGAUGCGCCGCGGGGAAGAUGAGGA